CCAAGGCCCCUCAUCUGGCCCUCCCAUAUGCAGGGACCAGGGAGCUUUGGCUGCUGUUGGGGCCAUGGUCCACCUGGACCCCCAGGAACAGGGGCGGGGGUGGAUCCCAGAGAGAAGGCUGCCUGCCUUUCAAACCAUAGGCUCCUCCAAGACUUGUUGGUUGGGGUGAUACCUACAGCCAGCCUGACUGCAAACAGACUUGUUCAGGGGUCAGGGCCUGUCACCUGAGGAGUCAGAUGGCUCUGAAGGGCUUGGCUGGUGCUGGGGCAGGCUUUGAGCAGGGUGGGGUCCAAGACACAGAGGCCUCUGGCCUCCCUCAGCCCCCCAGACUCAGAGGCCCCUAAGACGCCCUGCUUUACGUCCCAAAGGCGCAGCCACGUGGCAGUGAGGAUGAAGGUCCCAGACGUGUGAUUUUCUCGUUGAAGCCUUCUAUCAACUCCCCAGGUGGCUGUCGCCAUCAAGCCACUCUGCAGAGAGGAAGACUGAGGUCAGAGCUGCAGAUGGUAAUAUCCCAGUCCUGGCCUGCGUGGACUACACCCUGACAAGGAGCCAGGUGUCCUGCGCUGUUCCACAUAGGUGUCCUCACCAGCCAUUCUAGCCCCCAUCUCAAGAUGGGGAAACAGGACCAGUGAGGGUCAGGGACCUGGCAAAGCUGAGGAGAGGCCCAGGUCUUCAGGGCCCAGCUCUGGGGAGGGUGGGAACCUGUCUCCCUCUGUGCCCCCUGCCCCCAGGGAGGUGCCAGGACCGCCAUUGGGCGGGCUGGGACCCAUGCCGGCGAGGCCUGGCCUUCUGCAGCUGCUCUGUGGUGUUGCAAUCUCUCUCCCACUCCAGGCCCCAUAGCCUGCCCAGGCCAUGUCUCAACUUGCAGCAGCUCAUGCCCUGGGCCCGGAGGAAAACCUCACCCACCUCACUGGGACCCAGACGACAAGUCCCAGCGUGGCCUGGUCCCUGUGCCAGCUCCGAGUGUGAGAAAAUGCUGGGCCGGGGAGGAGGAGUGGCAGGUGGUGGGGGUGUGAGCAGGAACAACGCCCGGCCUUCUGGAGCCCAAGACGAGCCUAGCCCCAGCCUAGCCAUGCCCCCAGCCUCAGCCCCUGACCCCCAGCCCCCUCCCUUGGACUUAGCCCCAGCCCCAGCCCCCAGCCUUGCCCCUGGACCCCAUGGGCUCUAGCCCCUGGCCCCUCAUCAAGGGCUGACCCUGGGCUGCAGCUCCUACCCUUACCCUGCUCCCCCAUCAACUCUGUCCUUAAGGAGCAAAAAGCUGCACACAGCUGGUGCCCAAUAGUUGCCAGGAGGCAGAGCUGGGCAGUUUGGCGAAUGGCCAGCAGGAAUCUGCAGAGGGCUGGUGGUCAGCGCAUCCCCUCCCAGUCAGGGUCACCUUGGCCCUGGAGUGCAGGCGUGGAGACCCCUGGAGUGAUCCCACUCCCCAGCAUGGGAGGAAAACCCAGGCCUGGGGCCUGACCCAGGGCCUCUGGACACAGCAGUCCCUUGGGGGCCCUGAGCACUCUAAGGCCUGGUGUCUGGGCCUUCAGAGUGGUCCUGGAUCCUCCCCAGACCCCUGGUUUGCUGGCAAGAAAGGGAAGAAGUGGGGGGGCUGGAGCCUAGCCAGGAGCCAGGAGGGUGUAAGGACCCUGGCCAGCGAGGGGGCAGGAGUCGGGGUGGGCAAGAGAGUGUCUCUGGGGCCCUUGGCAGCAGGCAAGCCCUGCCCAGGCAAGUACCGGUUCUCGGCACCUGAGCCACUGAUGGGAAGGGAUGGGGCAGGCUGGGAGCUUGGGGUCACCACGUUGGGGACCUGCUGAGUACCUCCUGUGCCCAUGGCUUUCUGCAGGCUAUCUCCUCACAAAUGAGGAAACUGAGGCUCCCAGGGAGGAGGCUGGGGACAGGGGUGGGUUCCAAAUUGGAAGUGUUCACCCCAGAGCCCAGCCAGGCCCUCCCACAGGGAGCCCAGCCCCAGCCCACCCAGUCCACUCAGCCUUGGGAGACAGGAGGUUGCCCAGGAGCCCCGGAAGCCUUCCUGGAGGAGGCAGCUUCGUGCAGGACCCUGAGGGCAUGGGAGCAGUGAGAGCAGACAUUCAGCAGACCAGAGUGGGCACCUGUGGCUGCAGAAAGGUUGAGAAGGGGCAGGCUGGGCCCCGUGUGUGCGGGGGCCAAGGUCCCUGUGCAGAGGCAAACAGACCAGAAGGCCAGGUGUUGGCUCCAGAGACCCUCUGCACCCACUGUGCCCCCCGGCUGCACCCCCUACAUUCCAGCUGGCCUGGGCACCAGAGAGAAAGCCAUAUACCUGUUCUGGGCCAGGCCAUGACUGAGGCAUCCCCGGCCACCUGCUCCCACCCUCCCCAGGACUGUACCCCCCACCUCACAAAUCCAGGCCACGGUCCCUGCCCCAGGAUCCUGGCCCCGUGGCUCACCCUCCCUCCCACACACCUCUGGGCUGGCCCCCAGCUGGACACUGUGCAGUCCAGGGUGGUUUUAUUCAGGCCCAGCCCUCAGAGCCCGACCAGUGGAGGAGAUGGCCCAGGACAGCAGCGACAGCCCAGUGUGAGCCAGGCACACUGGGGGCAGCAGCACACUGGGAAAGCACAGAGCCACCUCCCUUCCUACCCCUGCUUCCAGAGCCAGGGACUGAGAUCAGGCAGCUGGGGCAAGAGCCACACUGCAGGGAGGGCAGUGGGGAAGCAGGGAAGCCGUUGGGUGUGGGGCUGGGGGCUGUGGAUGGAGGAUGAAGCUGUGCAUGGGGGUUGGGGCUGCCUCCCUCCUCUGCCUCCCCCCAAGGCAGCAGGGAGCUGCAGCUGGUUCAAGCCAGCACACUGGAGUCUGACUUGCAGCUGAGAAGGAUGCCUCUGGCAGGCAGGCUUCUGGCUGCUCUGACAGUUCAGUCCUGUGAGCAGUGCCCAUCCUGCCCAACCACGCAGGGCAGCCCUGCUAGGUUCAGCAUGGACAGUGCCCAAUGGCCCUGUGGGUAGAAAGGAGGCCACCUUCUCCAGGUGCCUGCUGGCUACCUUGCCCAGUCCCCCCACCUCACCACCAUCUCUGAGUACCCCUCCCUCCUGGCAGCUCCGCUGCAGGGAGGAGGCCACAGCUGUUGCCCCAGGCAGCUCCUUUGCCUCUGCUGCAGAGGCAGGAAGGCCUGUCCCGCCCCACCUGCGGUGGCCAGUGCUGGAAGCAGGAAGUUGGGUAUCAGGCCACCUGUGCACCUGCCCUCUGCCUGUCCUGCUCAGGAGGAGCAGGAAGGGUGGAGAGGCUGGGCCUCAGGCUGGACGUGGCCCCAAAGCCUGUGCACUCCCCCACCCAGGCCUGGGCCCACCCCAGCCCUGCUUCUGCUGUUCCAGAGAGGAUCCCUGAAUCCCCGGACAGGCCCGGGCAGAACCUUGCCUCCUCUGGCUUCAGGGUCGCUGGGUGUGCUGGGCAGGGCCCCUCGUGCCCCUUCUGUCAAGAGAGAGGAUGAGGGCCCUGAGGCCAGAGGGGCCCAGCCUGGACAGCCCGAUGCCCCCGGAGAAGUGGUCAGCUGCAGAACAGCCCUCUCAUCCAUGGCGGGGGACAUUGGAGCACGAAUCCCCCAGGGGUGGGCCAGGCUGGGUGCCAGGACAAGGUUGCAUUCACAGGUGGGGAAACUGAGGCACAGAAAGGGCAGGGACUUGCCCAGGAAUCCCAGUGGGUUCCAGGCUGCUGGGGUCCAGCUUUCACCUUUCACUCCCUACCAGCUGGUGGGUUCCAAGGCCCUUUGGGGUACCUCUCUUUGCGAGGGUCUGGGCACAACACACCUUGCCUAUGGGGGUACAGCCCACUGCCUGCUCAGCGUGUCUCCACAGAUCUCGCCAUGGAUGACGGGCCUGAGCAUGAGACCAGCAUGUCGGGGCCUGAGCCUGAGCGUGAGACCAGCACGUCAGGGCCCAAGCCACUGGCUCAGGCUUCAGCCUCUGCACACACAGCGUCACAGGAGCCUUCCAGGAGGCGGCCACAGAGGGGGGCCCUGGAGGACCCUCGUGUGGGAAGAGGGGGCCUGCACCUGCAUAAGGCAGGCCCUGGGGCAGGGUGGGGUCAUUGGUGUCUCCUUCACCCCUGGGCCUGGAACCAGCUGGAGCCUUUGGGUCCAGUGAGCUGUGCAUCUUGGGCGACUAGGGGCCCACGUGGAGGCUGGGGACCACAGGAGCAGACAAGCCUCCAACGUCCAACAGCACCUCCCAAGCAGGAGCGUCCAGCCAGACCUGGCAUGGCCCCCAAGGAAGCCGGGAGGCUGCUCAGAAAGAUACGGUGAAGUCCUAACCCUGGAACAUGUGGACAUGGCCUUGCUUGGAAAUAGGGUGUCUGAAGGUGUUGCCAGCUAACAUGAGGUCACACAGGAGGGGGUGGGUCCUGAUCCAACCUGGAUGGUGCCCUCUAAAAGAGAAGAAGAGACACAGAGAGACAUGGAGGGAAGAUGGACAUGUGACCACGGAGCAGAGACAGAACAACGCGGCCACAAGCCACAGAACAUGAAGUUGGUAGAGACCAGGAAGGACCCUCGCCUAGAGCCUCCAGAGGGAGCGCGGUCCUGCCGACCCGUGAUUUCAGACCCCUGCCCCCAGUGCCGUGAGAAGCCCUGGUGUGUGGUCCUUUGACACAGACACCCCAGGACACUUACAGAGCCAGGCUAGGAUUCAAAGACCACCCCCCCCCCCACUGCCCCUCUUAGACAGGAAUCCUUUAGGGCAGGUCUGGGCUCAGCACCUACAGGGUCCCCGCCUGUGUGGCCCUGUGGGCAGGCUCCUCUCUGACCCCCAGGCACGGAGGAGAAAGUGGGCUGUGGGUUCCCCCCACACGGAGAAUAUGGGGCCCAGACCCACGCUCAGGCACUAAGACAGGAGCCUGACUGCAGCUCCCGAGGGCCGGCUCUCCACCUCUGUCCUCAGGGGACAGAGCAGGGGCUGGACUCGGGCAAGGGAGGUGGCUACAAUCCCGCGUCCUUGCUCCCCCCGCCAGUGCACUGAGGCCGGGAGGGGGCAGGUGUGGCCACUUCUAGGGGGGCAGGAGCUGGUAUCAUGUUAGCUGGCCCAGGUCCCACCUGGGUAGGGAUGACCCUUGGCUGUGGGUCACCUGCCACUUUGGGAGUGGGCUGCGUUCUGGGUGACCAGAGGCUGACCCUUUGCGUGUGGGCCCAGGCGUCUGGCUUUCCGGCCCCCAUGUGCAUUGCACAAGCCCGUGGGGUCGUCAACACAAACAACCAAAUUGCACCACCGAGUUCCCUUCCUGGCUUCCUCUUUGCUCUGCAGCAGAUGAGCGGGUGCCCUGGGCCCUGUCAGGGUGCCAACCUCCACCCAUUCCUCCUCAGAAGCCUGGCUCCAGCAGAUGCCCUUGGCCUGUCACUGGGGGGUUCUGUGCCCCGGGAGACGAGGGGCCAGAGCCUUCUCCUGAAAUGGCCUCCUGUGGACACAGGGCUGCCACUCCGAUGCUGCGCUCAGCGGCAAGCGCUCUGACAGUUACAACUCAGGACAUUUGCAAAGCGGAAGCAGAGGCCCACAGCACGGAAGUGGUUCCGGUGCUUUCCUGUCUGUGGGCUCAUCUGCACUGUACCCAGUGCUGCAGACAGGACCAGCAUCUUCUCAUCUCAAGGGGAAACAGGCUCAGACAGACGCCUGGCCCCGGAGGAUCCCUGAAAUUCCUCCUCUUCCAGGAAGCUGUCCUGGACUACCCCUCCAGAAGGGAUCUCUGGCUCUGUGGGCGACGAGGAGUCCUGCUUCACCUGCUGCUGCCCCUCUGCUCAUGCCAUUCCCGUGCCCCCUCUGCCCAGCCAGGUGCUGAGGACACUGGGCAUGUUCAGUUCUUCUCUGUCUUCAUCCACCAGACUUGGCAGACACUAAACCAAAUCAAAAUGAUUGCAGUGGAGUCGAAUCCAACUAUAGCGACCCUAUAGGACAGAGUAGAACUGCCCCAUAGGGUUUCCAAGGCUGUAAAUCUUCAUGGAAGCAGGCUGCCAGGCCUUUCUCCCUCAGAGCGGCCGCUGAGCUUGACCCACCAACCUUUCAGUUAGCAGCCGAGCGCUUAAUCACUGUGCCACUAGGGAUCCUUCAGUA
Molecule: long non-coding RNA, 6047 nt
Organism: Loxodonta africana (African savanna elephant)
Lineage: Eukaryota; Metazoa; Chordata; Mammalia; Proboscidea; Elephantidae
Exons: 2
Source: RefSeq, a predicted model, not a curated record